AGUUAACUGUAGCUGGGGAAAGGGGCUCAUGUGUCUUCUUCACCCAUCCCUGAGGAUCUAUUGGCUGUUAAUGCUGACCAGGGAAGGAGAGACGUUUUCUUCAAUAAUAUAAGCUACCGAAAAAAAGAAAAUAACCAUGAAGAUAAACCUAAAGAGGGAAAAGUGUUGCCCCAGUCCCACCAGCUGUGCACGAUCCUGGCUCAGAUCAUGGCAUAUCCAUGCAUUUAUCAUCCAUUCAUGAUUAUCUGCCCAUCCAUUCAUCUCCUGAGUUGCUCAUUCAUGUCUUCACUGAGGAGUCAUUCCCAUCAUUGGCCCAGCUGGAGCUCGGUCCUCGGUGCGGGCUCAUCUUGUUCGGUGGCAGGCAUCCGGGUUGGUGGAUUCUGGUGGACUCGAUCUCUCAGCAUGUUGGCAUCUUUGUGGGACUCGGGACUCUGGGAGCGAGUGAUUUGCCAUGGCUAGACAAGAGACUUGUGUCCCUGUCACAGAUUGAAUUUGGACUUAUAAUGUGAUAGGAAACAUGGAGAAAGGGGAGAGGAUUAGACCUCGAGGUUUCAGGUGAGCUAUUUUCAAGUUGUGGCAUUAAAUGGACAAACCCAUCACAUUUUCUCCACUUCAGUCCUUUUGAGUCUGAAAUGGGCAUGGUUACAACAGAAUGAGUAGUUAUGUGGGUCAAAUAAGUUGAUACCACAAAGAUAAUGGAAGCAUAAAACAGUGUAUGGAAUUUGAAUAUGGUGGCACAUGCCUGUAAUUCUACUGGAGAUAUAGAGGCAGGAAGAUCAGGAGUUCAA
Molecule: long non-coding RNA, 788 nt
Organism: Mus musculus (house mouse)
Lineage: Eukaryota; Metazoa; Chordata; Mammalia; Rodentia; Muridae
Product: RIKEN cDNA 4930414F18 gene
Exons: 4
Source: RefSeq, marked validated